GGGGGGAGGGCUCAGUGGUAGAGAGCAUGCUUGGCAUUCACAAGGUCCUGGGUUCAAUCCCCAGUACCUCCA
This 72-nucleotide transfer RNA is filed under the name Camelus bactrianus (Bactrian camel). It matches the Rfam family "tRNA". From Rfam's summary of the family: Transfer RNA (tRNA) molecules are approximately 80 nucleotides in length. Their secondary structure includes four short double-helical elements and three loops (D, anti-codon, and T loops). The record is from Rfam by way of RNAcentral. Lineage: Eukaryota; Metazoa; Chordata; Mammalia; Artiodactyla; Camelidae. RNAcentral also lists the same sequence under 1 other name.